Molecule: non-coding RNA, 1789 nt
Organism: Schizosaccharomyces pombe (fission yeast)
Lineage: Eukaryota; Fungi; Ascomycota; Schizosaccharomycetes; Schizosaccharomycetales; Schizosaccharomycetaceae
Source: the annotation of a GenBank genome assembly
UUCUUUUAUAACGUCUUGAUUUGGGUAUUGUGAUGAAGUUAUGUUUUCUGGUUCGGGCUCCUGAAUCUGAUUCUCUAGAAGUGCCAACCGCUCAAUUGCUUCACUAUGUCCUGCUUUAGCAGCCUCAUUAUACCAGUAUGUUGCCUGUUCUGUAUUACCUCUUGUAUCGAAUAAAUAACCCAUCAGGAAUUGAGCAUUAGCAUUACCAGCCAUAGAGGCUCUUUCAGCAUGCAUAAAGGCUAAAUCCUCAUCAACGGGUAUACCAUCCGAGCCGUUCAGGUACCAUUUUGCAACCGCGAGAUCAGCUUCUGUUUCCCCCCUUUUAGCGGCAGCACUGUAAUAGAACAAAGAAUAUCGAGGAACGACAGGGCAGCCGUAUUUUCCGAACUCAUAGACAGCUCCCAUUCGUAAUUGAGCCGAUGAAUGACCCAAAAAAGCAGCUUUCGCAAAACUUUUAAGUGCAGUUGCUUCAUCUAUGGGAACUCUAAUAUUUUCAGACCCUAAAUCUACUAAUCCAGGAUGUUCAUGAAGAUUCACCAAAGCAUGACUAUACAGUCCGGAUGGAACAUCGGCAUCAGCUGUAUCUGCGCUUCGUUCGAGAAGUUCUAGUCCACUAGCGUGCCUGUGUGCAUAUUCUCCAACACCGUCCAACAUCCCUUCCAAAAUUAAAAGCGAUAGUCUCCAACAGCAUGCACUGUCAUUCUCUGAAACACCCUUUUCAAAAUAUUCGACGGCUUCUUCUAGGUUACCUUGAUCUUCCAAUAACACUCCUAAUCUGUACAAGCUUCGUGUAUAGCCUAGAUUAGCAGAAGAAGAGUAUAAGUCCCAGGCCCGCUGGAUAUCAGACUCUACAUCAAAGGCACCUGUCUCGUAGACAUAGGCAUCGAAAUACAUUGCUUUAGCAUUCUCUAACUCUGAAAAUUCUCGAAUUUUAUAGAGCGCGUUUUCGCACAUUGAUUCCAAAUAAUUAAUUUCAUGGAGGUUUUCGCUUUCAUAUGUUUGAAGAUAUGGUAGAUGAGAUUGGGUAAAUCGAAGGACGUAUUCUGCCCACUCCAAUGCUUCGUCAAUGUCUUGAGAAUGUACAAGGUCUUCAUUGGCGCGAAUCCAAUCAAGUUGCUCUUCAUCGGAUACUGGUAAGGGAAAAGGUAAAUCCGCUACUACCUGCUUUUGCAAUGGGGAUCCGUUAUUCGGUUUAGGGUUGUGAUUAGAAAAAUGUGCCUCUUCAUGAGGGAAUACAACGUCCGCGGCUUCAUUAGAUGUACGUAAAUAUCCUGGGGCAACACAUGGUGUAGAAUGAGAGCGAGUUGCUGAAGGAGCUGAGUUUCUAAUAUUCGGCAAAGGACGGUCCCGUUUUGUUUCUUGUGAGCUGGUAGCGCGUUUAAUAGUUAAAAGAAUGCUAGAAGAGGAUACGUUCGGUCGUGAAUAAAAAUUCUCUUUUUUCAUGUUGGUUACAGAGGCACUCAAACUUUGUGUAUCGUUCAUUUCCGGUGCAAUCAUGUCGCCAAUACCGUAGGCAGGUCCAAUGGCAUCUGUUUCAAAGGGAAUGCUAGAUUGAACAUUGGAGAGGUAAAAAGCAUUUAUUCGUGAGGCAACUUGAGGAUCGGUUAUAGAAUGCCCAAUUGAGGACCUGUUUCUGCUUUUGAUACCGCGUAUAUUGUUCACCGACUGAGAAGAAUAUGAAAAUUCCGGCACACCCAAGGGGCUUCUAUUUCGCAUAGAAGAUGCUGAAUCCAUUUAAUGGACUUUUUAGGAGAAUAGUCAGAUUAGCAAAAGAAAACUCGUGUAACGU